This 254-nucleotide ribosomal RNA is filed under the name uncultured bacterium. RNAcentral describes it as "partial 16S ribosomal RNA". It matches the Rfam family "Bacterial small subunit ribosomal RNA", at positions 524 to 776 of the family's 1533-position model. The record is from RNAcentral.
UACGUAGGGUGCAAGCGUUGUCCGGAAUUAUUGGGCGUAAAGGGCGCGUAGGCGGUCAGCACAAGUCAGUUGUGAAAUCUCCGGGCUUAACUCGGAAAGGUCAACUGAUACUGUGCGACUAGAGUGCGGAAGGGGCAACUGGAAUUCUCGGUGUAGCGGUGAAAUGCGUAGAUAUCGAGAGGAACACCUGCGGCGAAGGCGGGUUGCUGGGCCGACACUGACGCUGAUGCGCGAAAGCCAGGGGAGCGAACGGG